UAGGGAAUAUUAGUAAUGGGCGAAAGCCUGAACUAGCAACACCGCGUGUGCGAAGAAGGCCUUCGGGUUGUAAAGCACUUUUUGAGAGGAUGAGGAAGGACGGUACUCUCAGAAUAAGUCUCGGCUAACUACGUGCCAGCAGCCGCGGUAACACGUAGGAGGCAAACGUUAUCCGGAUUUACUGGGCGUAAAGCGCGUGUAGGUGGUUUGGUAAGUAGAGCGUGAAAGCUCCUGGCUCAACUGGGAGAGGUCGUUCUAAACUGCCGGACUAGAGGAUGGUAGAGGGAGGUGGAAUUCCUAGUGUAGCGGUGAAAUGCGUAGAUAUUAGGAGGAACACCAGUUGCGAAGGCGGCUCUCUGGACUGUAACUGACACUGAGGCACGAAAGCGUGGGGAGCAAACA
RNAcentral lists this ribosomal RNA (402 nucleotides) under uncultured prokaryote. Its description in RNAcentral is "bacterial SSU rRNA". It matches the Rfam family "Bacterial small subunit ribosomal RNA", at positions 355 to 774 of the family's 1533-position model. The record is from RNAcentral.